RNAcentral lists this ribosomal RNA (229 nucleotides) under Vibrio parahaemolyticus. RNAcentral describes it as "partial 16S ribosomal RNA". It matches the Rfam family "Bacterial small subunit ribosomal RNA", at positions 1 to 218 of the family's 1533-position model. The record is from RNAcentral. Lineage: Bacteria; Pseudomonadati; Pseudomonadota; Gammaproteobacteria; Vibrionales; Vibrionaceae.
AAAUUGAAGAGUUUGAUCAUGGCUCAGAUUGAACGCUGGCGGCAGGCCUAACACAUGCAAGUCGAGCGGAAACGAGUUAUCUGAACCUUCGGGGAACGAUAACGGCGUCGAGCGGCGGACGGGUGAGUAAUGCCUAGGAAAUUGCGCUGAUGGUGGGGAUAACCAUUGGAAACGAUGGCUAAUACCGCAUGAUGCCUUUGGGCCAAAGAGGGGGACCUUCGGGCAUCAC